ACAAUGGAUUUACUCAAAUCCAACAAAAUUUCUUUAGAAUUUAGU
Molecule: non-coding RNA, 45 nt
Organism: Gavia stellata (red-throated loon)
Lineage: Eukaryota; Metazoa; Chordata; Aves; Gaviiformes; Gaviidae
Source: Rfam